Molecule: ribosomal RNA, 496 nt
Filed under: uncultured bacterium
Lineage: Bacteria
Description: partial 16S ribosomal RNA
Rfam family: Bacterial small subunit ribosomal RNA
Source: RNAcentral
AUGAACGCUGGCGGCGUGCCUCAUCCAUGCCAGUCGCGCGAACAGACGAGGAGCUUGCUCCUCUGACGUUAGCGGCGGACGGGUGAGUAACACGUGGAUAACCUACCUAUAAGACUGGGAUAACUUCGGGAAACCGGAGCUAAUACCGGAUAAUAUAUUGAACCGCAUGGUUCAAUAGUGAAAGACGGUUUUGCUGUCACUUAUAGAUGGAUCCGCGCCGCAUUAGCUAGUUGGUAAGGUAACGGCUUACCAAGGCAACGAUGCGUAGCCGACCUGAGAGGGUGAUCGGCCACACUGGAACUGAGACACGGUCCAGACUCCUACGGGAGGCAGCAGUAGGGAAUCUUCCGCAAUGGGCGAAAGCCUGACGGAGCAACGCCGCGUGAGUGAUAAAGGUCUUCGGAUCGUAAAACUCUGUUAUUAGGGAAGAACAAAUGUGUAAGUAACUAUGCACGUCUUGACGGUACCUAAUCAGAAAGCCACGGCUAACUACGUG